Molecule: non-coding RNA, 82 nt
Organism: Pangasianodon gigas (Mekong giant catfish)
Lineage: Eukaryota; Metazoa; Chordata; Actinopteri; Siluriformes; Pangasiidae
Source: the annotation of a GenBank genome assembly
AUCGCUGGCAUCUCAGAAGUAGCAUGUGUAGCUCGAUAGAGAGUGAGGGAGAGAGAGAGAUGGAGAGUGGGGGAGAGAUUGU